AAAGCUAUGCUUUUAGGGAUCAUUUCUCUAGUUGGUGACUGGAGAAGAAUGGUUAUAAAAGCCUGGCCUUGCUAAUCACAAUGAAUUACUGUAGUGUUUCUUUCUAAGCAUGAUAAUAGCAGAGAGUGCUAUUCUGUGAUAGCUGUUUUCUGUUGUGGAAGGGUGUCUUGUUUUUCCUAGCAAGAACAAGGGAAAGAAACAGUCUGAGUGAU
Molecule: small nucleolar RNA, 212 nt
Organism: Chrysemys picta bellii (western painted turtle)
Lineage: Eukaryota; Metazoa; Chordata; Testudines; Emydidae
Product: small nucleolar RNA U3
Source: RefSeq, a predicted model, not a curated record